Molecule: ribosomal RNA, 1235 nt
Filed under: metagenome
Description: bacterial LSU rRNA
Rfam family: Bacterial large subunit ribosomal RNA
Source: RNAcentral
UGAGUACGAGAUGCUACGGCGUCGAAGCAGUCUAUGUCAUACUUCCAAGAAAAGCUUGCACUGUCAUAAACAAAUAAUGCCUGUACCAUAACCGACACAGGUGGGUAGGUAGAGUAUACUAAGGGGCGCGAGAUAACUCUCUCUAAGGAACUCGGCAAAAUGACUCCGUAACUUCGGGAGAAGGAGUGCCUUAUUUAUAAGGUUGCAAUAACAAGACCCAAGCAACUGUUUAUCAAAAACACAGGUCUCCGCUAAGUCGUAAGACGAUGUAUGGGGGCUGACGCCUGCCCAGUGCCAGAAGGUUAAAGAAGUUGGUUAGCUUUUGCGAAGCUGAUGACUGAAGCCCUGGUGAACGGCGGCCGUAACAAUAACGGUCCUAAGGUAGCGAAAUUCCUUGUCGGGUAAGUUCCGACCCGCACGAAAGGCGUAAUGAUUUGGGUACUGUCUCAGAGAGGGACUCGGUGAAAUAGACUUGUCUGUGAAGAUGCGGACUACCUGCACCUGGACAGAAAGACCCUAUGAAGCUUUACUGUAACUUGAAAUUGAAAUUGGACUUUAUUUGCGCAGUAUAGGUGGGAGGCUUUGAAGAUAUUCUUGCGGGAAUGUUGGAGCCAUCAGUGAGAUACCACUCUUGUAAUGUUAGAUUUCUAACUUUGUAUCAUUAUCUGGUCAAAGAACAGUUUCAGGCGGGCAGUUUGACUGGGGCGGUCGCCUCCUAAACGGUAACGGAGGCGCACAAAGGUUUCCUCUGAACGGGUAGAAAUCGUAUCUAGAGUGUAAAGGCAUAAGGAAGCUUGACUGUGAGACCUACAAGUCGAGCAGGGACGAAAGUCGGUCUUAGUGAUCUGACGGUGCUGAGUGGAAAGGCCGUCACUCAACGGAUAAAAGUUACUCUAAGGAUAACAGGCUGAUCUCCCCCAAGAGUUCACAUCGACGGGGAGGUUUGGCACCUCGAUGUCGGCUCAUCGCAUCCUGGGGCGGUAGUACGUCCCAAGGGUUGGGCUGUUCGCCCAUGAAAGCGGUACGCGAGCUGGGUUCAGAACGUCGUGAGACAGUUCGGUCCAUAUCCGGUGUAGGCGUUAGAAUAUUGAGAGGAGCCUUCUCUAGUACGAGAGGACCGAGAAGGACAUACCUCUGGUGUACCAGUUAUCGUGCCAACGGUAAACGCUGGGUAGCUAUGUGUGGAGUGGAUAACCGCUGAAAGCAUCUAAGUGGGAAGCCCACCUCAAGAUAAG